UAGCUACGUUUUCUAGCUCACCCCAGCC
RNAcentral lists this non-coding RNA (28 nucleotides) under Rattus norvegicus (Norway rat). Lineage: Eukaryota; Metazoa; Chordata; Mammalia; Rodentia; Muridae. The record is from RNAcentral.